GAUGAGAACGCAGCGAAAUGCGAUAAGUAAUGUGAAUUGCAGAAUUCAGUGAAUCAUCGAAUCUUUGAACGCACAUUGCGCCCGCCAGUAUUCUGGCGGGCAUGCCUGUUCGAGCGUCAUUUCAACCAUCAAGCCCUGCUUGCGUUGGGGUCCUGCGGCUGCCCGCAGGCCCUGAAAACCAGUGGCGGGCUCGCUAGUCACACCGAGCGCAGUAAUACAUCUCGCUUUGGGCGUGCGGCGGGUUCUUGCCGUUAAACACCCCCUUUUUACCAAGGUUGACCUCGGAUCAGGUAGGAAUACCCGCUGAACUUAAGCAUAUCAAUAAGCGGAGGA
RNAcentral lists this unclassified non-coding RNA (333 nucleotides) under soil metagenome. RNAcentral describes it as "partial contains 5.8S ribosomal RNA, internal transcribed spacer 2, and large subunit ribosomal RNA". The stretch from base 5 to 119 matches the Rfam family "5.8S ribosomal RNA", at positions 40 to 154 of the family's 154-position model. The record is from RNAcentral.